RNAcentral lists this ribosomal RNA (500 nucleotides) under uncultured bacterium. RNAcentral's name for it is "partial 16S ribosomal RNA". It matches the Rfam family "Bacterial small subunit ribosomal RNA", at positions 30 to 523 of the family's 1533-position model. The record is from RNAcentral.
AUUGAACGCUGGCGGCAUGCCUUACACAUGCAAGUCGAACGGCAGCACGGACUUCGGUCUGGUGGCGAGUGGCGAACGGGUGAGUAAUGCCUCGGAACGUACCAUUGAGUGGGGGAUAACGUAGCGAACGUUACGAUAAUACCGCAUAAUCUCCCCGGAGGAAAGCAGGGGCUCGUAAGAACUUGUGCUCUUUGAGCGGCCGAUGUCGGAUUAGCUAGUUGGUGAGGUAAAGGCUCAUCAAGGCUACGAUCCGUAGCGGGUAUGAGAGGAUGAUACGCCACACUGGGACUGAGACACGGCCCAGACUCCUACGGGAGGCAGCAGUGGGAAAUUUUGGACAAUGGGGGCAACCCUGAUCCAGCCAUGCCGCGUGAGUGAAGAAGGCCUUCGGGUUGUAAAGCUCUUUCAGCCGGGAAGAAAACGCAUGGGUUAAUACCCUGUGUGGAUGACGGUACCGGAAUAAGAAGCACCGGCUAACUACGUGCCAGCCGCCGCAGUAA